GUGCUAAGAACAUAUCAUGGACUUGAAGAAAAUACAGUUUUAUUUCUGUUACAGGGACUUAACACAUCCGAUCCUGUUUGGAUGCUGAAGCGUACAUACAGCAAAGAAAAUGAAUCAUGUAUCUAUACAAAAAUGAUGUCUCUUAACCGCACCGACUAUGAAUUUAGGCGAUAUUUUAGUGCUGGAGGCAAGAUGUACUAUAAGCACUACUACGCGAAGCUGACUAACGCCACAGGGGGCCAAGAGGGUGCACAACUGAAUGUCAGUAAAUAUCAAAACGAAACAUCCAGUGGCAUAGCUGUUAUACUUCUUCACUGGGACGAUACAAGCAACUGUGCAAUUCUAUAUUAUAAGGACCCCAAAGAAGGUCAG
Molecule: long non-coding RNA, 372 nt
Filed under: Dermacentor andersoni
Lineage: Eukaryota; Metazoa; Arthropoda; Arachnida; Ixodida; Ixodidae
Description: uncharacterized LOC126522377
Source: RNAcentral